GCCCAGAUGGUCGAGUGGUCUAAGGCCGCGGUCUGCAAAACCGUUGUUUCGUGAGUUCGAAUCUCACUCUGGGCU
RNAcentral lists this transfer RNA (75 nucleotides) under Caudoviricetes sp. Its description in RNAcentral is "tRNA-Cys". It matches the Rfam family "tRNA". From Rfam's summary of the family: Transfer RNA (tRNA) molecules are approximately 80 nucleotides in length. Their secondary structure includes four short double-helical elements and three loops (D, anti-codon, and T loops). The record is from RNAcentral. Lineage: Duplodnaviria; Heunggongvirae; Uroviricota; Caudoviricetes.